Molecule: ribosomal RNA, 216 nt
Filed under: Glomeromycotina sp.
Lineage: Eukaryota; Fungi; Glomeromycota
Description: partial small subunit ribosomal RNA
Rfam family: Eukaryotic small subunit ribosomal RNA (bases 87-216)
Source: RNAcentral
GGGUCAGUAGGUUGGUCGUGCCACCGGUACGUACUGGUCUCACUGAUUCCUCCUUCCUGAAGAACCGUAAUGCCAUUAUUUGGGUGUUGCGGGGAAACAGGACUGUUACUUUGAAAAAAUUAGAGUGUUUAAAGCAAGCUAACGCUUGAAUACAUUAGCAUGGAAUAAUGAAAUAGGACGUUCGAUCCUAUUUUGUUGGUUUCUAGGAUUGACGUA